UUAGGCGAAUCUGUUUUCAUUACUUGAAUCAACUUCACUGAACUGAAUCGAUUAUCCGUAAAAAGGAAGUAUCAGUUUGAUGAAGAUUAAGGCGUUUCCCCACCUUUAGUAUACAUCCGAUGAAAGUGGUGAACCGGGAUGUGUAUAAAUGGCAAGAAAAAUGCCCAAUCAUAGGGCGAUUCUACACAUUAAGUGAAAUAACAUCAAGACAAAUACCCGGCAUAUUAGAAAUACUCAAGGGCUCUACUCUUCUGAGAGACCAUUCAGUGCUGUGA
RNAcentral lists this long non-coding RNA (275 nucleotides) under Mustela putorius furo (domestic ferret). RNAcentral's name for it is "lncRNA (ENSMPUG00000032035.1)". Lineage: Eukaryota; Metazoa; Chordata; Mammalia; Carnivora; Mustelidae. The record is from RNAcentral.